RNAcentral lists this long non-coding RNA (225 nucleotides) under Lathyrus oleraceus (garden pea). Its description in RNAcentral is "Pisum sativum (pea) long non-coding RNA (PSAT_LNC029081)". Lineage: Eukaryota; Viridiplantae; Streptophyta; Magnoliopsida; Fabales; Fabaceae. The record is from RNAcentral.
CUACACCGAAGGGUCAUCGAGGGACAAAAUCAUAUAUUCGAAGGCAACAUCCGAGGGACUAUGAUUUAUUUUAAAGGGACAUGAUGAUUUAAUCGAAGGGUCUUUGCUAAGGGUAUCCCCACAUUCGCGGGACAUGACCGUAAUACCGUAAUAUCGUAAGGCAAUAAAGAGAGGUCCAAGAUCACAUAUUUAGAGGCCGUAUUUUACAAUCGAUUAGGUAAUUAG